Long non-coding RNA from Cyprinodon variegatus (sheepshead minnow), 766 nucleotides. RefSeq lists it as uncharacterized. The transcript has 3 exons. The record is from RefSeq and is a predicted model, not a curated record. NCBI's taxonomy places the organism in Eukaryota, Metazoa, Chordata, Actinopteri, Cyprinodontiformes, Cyprinodontidae.
GAUGCACUGACAACCAGCUUUUUACUGCUUCUACCAAGUUUCGCAAGCUUCUUUGACAGUAAAGGUAAUAUAAAGAGAUGAAUGUUCAAUAAGUUGUAUUUUGAGUUGUUUUAAAUUAGAAGCUUUUAGUUUCUAUUGGGUCUGAAUCAUUUUAACUGAUUAAUUCAAAUUUGCUGUUUGCAGUAACUCUUUUAAAAACGGUCAGAAAAGAACCAGAUUACACUCCAAUCUGCACCAAUGAAUCGUCAAAUAUCAUCAUCAUUAUAGCGUGUCAGAUCAGAACAGAGAGAAACAAAGGAGAGGAGUGCCGUCUGCUGUACAGGGAUGGAGGCGACUUUGUUCAUGAGUGUGACUCCAGGUUCACCCUUAAAACAUUGAAUCACACUGUGUUUCUGCACCUGACCAGUUUAACUGCGGCUGACAGUGGGAACUACACCUGUGAGUGUGCAAAACUUGAUGGGAUAUUUAUUCUUCAUCUCAACAUCAUAGUUAAAGAUAAUGGAGAAGAUGAGAAUGAGAGAUGCUUUUCAGAAGUGACCCUUCCUUCUGCUUUGACUGCUGCUGCUCUCUUAUUUACUAUAGUUUUAAUUAUUGUGGGAUUUGUUCACAGAAGACAUCUACCCUGCACCCGUUUAAAAUCUGAAGCAUCUGCAUCAUCUGUACAAGGAUCAGUUGCCCCUAAAGUGAGUAAUUAUUUUAUAAAUAACAAUUUCUGAGCUUCAUAGAAUGCUUUGCUCAAAUUCUUUUUAAUCCUGCAAAAGCCUUA